This 910-nucleotide ribosomal RNA is filed under the name Trichophaea abundans. RNAcentral's name for it is "LSU rRNA". It matches the Rfam family "Eukaryotic large subunit ribosomal RNA", at positions 38 to 965 of the family's 3401-position model. Lineage: Eukaryota; Fungi; Ascomycota; Pezizomycetes; Pezizales; Pyronemataceae. The record is from RNAcentral.
GCAUAUCAAUAAGCGGAGGAAAAGAAACCAACAGGGAUUGCCUCAGUAACUGCGAGUGAAGCGGCAAAAGCUCAAAUUUGAAAUCUGGCGCCUUCGGCGUCCGAGUUGUAAUUUGGAGGGGCAUCUUCGGGUUUGGCGCCGUCCUAAGUUCCUUGGAACAGGACGUCACAGAGGGUGAGAAUCCCGUGCCUGGGCGGCAGUCCAAAUCCAUGUGAAGUGUCUCCGACGAGUCGAGUUGUUUGGGAAUGCAGCUCAAAAUGGGUGGUAAAUUUCAUCUAAAGCUAAAUAUUGGCGAGAGACCGAUAGCGCACAAGUAGAGUGAUCGAAAGAUGAAAAGCACUUUGAAAAGAGAGUUAAAAAGUACGUGAAAUUGUUGAAAGGGAAGCGCUUGCGACCAGACUCGGUCUUUGGGGGUCAUCCGGGUUUCGGCUCGGUGCCAUCCCCAUUGAUCGGGCCAGCAUCGGUUCCGGCGGCGGGAUAAAAGGCGAGGGAAUGUGGCUCUCUUCGGGGAGUGUUAUAGCCCUCGUCACAAUGCCGCCAGCUGGGACCGAGGACCGCGCUUCGGCUAGGAUGCUGGCGUAAUGGUCUUAAGCGACCCGUCUUGAAACACGGACCAAGGAGUCUAACAUCUAUGCGAGUGUUCGGGUGGAAAACCCUUGCGCGUAAUGAAAGUGAACGGAGGUGGGAACCCUUAGGGGUGCACCAUCGACCGGUCCUGAUGUCUUCGGAAGGAUCUGAGUAAGAGCAUAGCUGUUGGGACCCGAAAGAUGGUGAACUAUGCCUGAAUAGGGUGAAGCCAGAGGAAACUCUGGUGGAGGCUCGCAGCGGUUCUGACGUGCAAAUCGAUCGUCAAAUUUGGGUAUAGGGGCGAAAGACUAAUCGAACCAUCUAGUAGCUGGUUCCUGCCGAA